Dromiciops gliroides (monito del monte) is the source of this 102-nucleotide small nuclear RNA. Lineage: Eukaryota; Metazoa; Chordata; Mammalia; Microbiotheria; Microbiotheriidae. The record is from RefSeq and is a predicted model, not a curated record.
UUACUUUGGCAGCACAUAUACUAAAACUGCAAAGAGACAGAGAAGGUUAGCAAGGCCUCUGUGCAAGGUGACAUGGAAAUUUGUGAAGCGUUCCAUAUCUAA